CACGUAGGGGGCGAGCGUUGUCCGGAUUUAUUGGGCGUAAAGAGCUCGUAGGCGGCUCAGUAAGUCGGGUGUGAAAACUCCAGGCUCAACCUGGAGACGCCACCUGAUACUGCUGUGGCUAGAGUCCGGUAGGGGAGCGCGGAACUUCCGGUGGAGCGGUGAAAUGCGUAGAUAUCGGAAGGAACACCGGUGGCGAAAGCGGCGCUCUGGUCCUCUUCUGACGCUGAGGCGCGAAAGCCAGGGGAGCAAACGGG
This 254-nucleotide ribosomal RNA is filed under the name uncultured bacterium. RNAcentral describes it as "partial 16S ribosomal RNA". It matches the Rfam family "Bacterial small subunit ribosomal RNA", at positions 524 to 776 of the family's 1533-position model. The record is from RNAcentral.